AUGCAAAGCCACAUCCAGUCUUGGAAAUCGGCCACACCCUAUCUCAUCUGAUCUCAGAAGCUAAGCAGGAUUGGGCCUGGUUAGUACUUGGAUGGGAGAAAGCCUGGCAUUUUACAAC
Dipodomys ordii (Ord's kangaroo rat) is the source of this 118-nucleotide ribosomal RNA. Lineage: Eukaryota; Metazoa; Chordata; Mammalia; Rodentia; Heteromyidae. The record is from Ensembl.